ACCCAGGGCGGGAGGCGGGGGCAGCCCCCUCCCCAGGAGGACUCACUGCCAGGCCUGUGCACGCAGACAGAGAGAAUUGUAAAGAGACAGAAUUUUACAAUCAGAUUUCCAGAUCUCUACAGCACUAGCUGACCUAGACUCUUCGACGCUACGUCUCAGAGCCUGGAAGAGUUUGGGAAGAGUCCUGGUCCUGCUCCCACCCGGCGCGAGGACCCUCUACCCACCGUGACCAGCGCUGACCAGCCUCACCACGCACCCCUGCCCUCCCUGCCCCCGUGGCUUCCGGGUCCCGGAAUGGUGGCAGUUGCCGGGUAUCUCGUGGGGUCUGCUCCCUGCAGCCACGUCCACCCGCGUGGCUGGUCGCGAGCGCCUCUCCGGACAGAUCUCCACCCUUCUCCCCACGGAAGCUGUGGAGGCGGCCUCCCCCGCCCCCAGGCCGCGGUCCCACAGGCUCCGGGGCCCCCCUCGACACCCGUUCCCCCUCGUCAGGUGCGCCUCAGGGAGCCCCAGCUCCGGGUGACCCGCUUGCUUCCCCGCCCCUCGGCAGAGCCGCUCCCGGGACCCCAGGGAUGGGUGACGAUGCCGGUCCUUCCGCCUCUCCCGGCUCGUGGCGGACCGUCCGUCUGUCAGGGUGACUGCCCGCCCCGCGGGGUCUCUCGGCGCUGCCUGCUCCCGGCUCCAGGAGGAUGGGAGAUGGGUGACGGCGGGGUGGGAUGUGGGGGCACAGGAGGCAGGAGGCUGACUUACGUGCCUCAGAUCUGCCCGAAAAGUGCCCUGUUCGGUGUGAAGAGACCGUGGGGAGGAGGAAGGAAGAGACUUUCUGCCCGGCAGAGUCAGGGGCUCCGAGGCAGCGCCGCCGCCGUUCCCAGGAGGAGGAGGAGAGACAUGCAGGUGGCCAACAGGCACAGGAAAAGAUGCCAGCAUCGCUAAUUAUCAGAGAAAUACAAACCAAAAUCACAGCGAGGUGCCACCCCACACUGGACAGAACGGCCAUCAUCAGAGGCUGCGGAUGGUAACGACCAGGGCGAGGCGGAGAAGAGGAACGUUCGUACCCUGUUCGGGGAGGCGUGAAGCGGCUCGGCCACUCCCGAAACCAGUACAGAGGUGCUUUAAAACCAAAAUUAGAGCUACCAUCUUAUCGAUUAAUCUUACUCCUGGGCCUCUAUCUGGAAAACAUGAAACUCUUCAUUUGAGAAGAUAACGCAUCCCGUGUUCAUAGCAGCACGAUUUAUAAUGGCAAAGACAUGGAAGCUCCCGAAGUGUUCGACAGCAUGUGAAUGAACAGAGAAGAUGUGGUACAAUAUAUGCAGUGGAAUAUUGCUCAGCCAUGAAAAAGAAUGAUGUGAUGCCAUUUUCAGCAACAUGGUGGACCUAGGAAAAUGUACUUGCCAAAGUAAGUCAAACAGGGAAGGACAGGCAUUACAGGACAUCAGGUACAUGCAGAAUCUAAAAAAAGAAUACAAAUGAAUCUAUGUACAAAAUAGAAGCAAACUCACGGAUACAGAAAAUGAAUUUACGGCUUCCAAAGGGGGGAGAGAGGGAAGGCGGGGUAAACUAGGAGCGUGGGGUUAACAAAUAUCAUUACACAGAAAAUACAGAAGUAACAAAGAUUUCCUGUGUAGCAGAUAUUACAUAUCUUGUAAUAACCUAUAGUGGAAUAUAAUCUGAAAAAAUAUAUGUAACCGAACCACUUUGCUGUAGCACUAAAAUUGACACAAUAGGAGUUCCCGUCAUGGCGCAGUGGUUAACGAAUCUGACCAGGAGCCAUGAGGUUGCGGGUUUGACCCUGGCCUUGCUCAGCGGGUUAAGGAUCCGGCGUUGCCGUGAGCUGUGGUGCAGGUUGCAGACACGGCUCGGAUCCUGCAUGGCUGUGGCUCUGGCGUAGGCCGGUGGCUACAGCUCCGAUUCGACCCUUAGCCCGGGAACCUCCAUAUGCCGUGGAAGUGGCUCAAGAAAAGGCAAAAAGAUGAAAAAAUAAAUAAAUAAAAUUGACACAAUAU
This 2000-nucleotide long non-coding RNA is filed under the name Sus scrofa (pig). RNAcentral's name for it is "lncRNA (ENSSSCG00045028062.1)". Lineage: Eukaryota; Metazoa; Chordata; Mammalia; Artiodactyla; Suidae. The record is from RNAcentral.